RNAcentral lists this ribosomal RNA (936 nucleotides) under Triticum aestivum (bread wheat). RNAcentral describes it as "partial small subunit ribosomal RNA". The record is from RNAcentral. Lineage: Eukaryota; Viridiplantae; Streptophyta; Magnoliopsida; Poales; Poaceae.
AUGGCGCCGCCGGGCUCGCCCGCUCCCUUCACCGUCGGCGGGCCGAUGCUGAACAUGAUAUUCCAAGCGGCGUCCGACGGAGAUCUCCACCUCUUCAAGAGGCUGGUGACGAUGCUGGACAUGGGCAGGGGCCGCCUCAAGGAGACGGUGGAGGCGCUGAGGGUGGAGGAUGCCGGGUUGCUUCAGGGUCUCGGGGCGCUGCACGUCGCCACUAACCGAGGGAGGAUGGAGGUUUGCAGGUACCUGGUCGGGGACCUGCAGGUUGAUGUGAACGCCGUCGACAAGGGAGGUAGAACACCUCUGUUUUUUGCGAUAUCUUGUAAGGGUGUGGGUAUUGCCAAAUAUCUUCUUGAUCAUGGUGCCGAUCCAAACAAAAGCUGCCACAAUGGGCUUUCCCCUUUACAUGAAGCCACUACAUCAGGAGAUUGUGAAACUGUUAAACUAUUGCUUGCUAAAGGAGCCUAUAUUGACCCGGUAGCCUUUUGUGGGACACCACUUCAUUGCGCCGCUACUCAAGGGCAUGAUGGCAUUUUGAAGAUUUUGCUGGACCACAAUGCAGAUCGCAAUAAAGAGGUAAAUGGCAAGACGCCUCUCAUUGCAGCUAUAGAUGCUGACUCAAGGAACUGCAUGCUUCUCCUGAUUAGGGCUGGUGCUGAUGCCAAGGGAGCUUUAACCUAUGCUGUGGAGAAUCUCCAUUCUCAAAAACUCGUUUCAACUGACUUCGUCAAUUGCAUUAAGGAGGAUGCUGCUGCCGACCGUGUUCUUCCAGAUGAUGACGAGCCUGUGUCUAAAAACAAAACUAGAGUGGCAGGGUUUAAGAAACUUGCGAACAACUCUUUCAAGAAGGAGGAUUAUUUUUCUGCAGCAGGAUCCUACAGUGUGAGAAGAAGCGGCAAAGAAGUCGGGUACAAUGCCUUUCGGCCAUCACAACGCUAA